Molecule: ribosomal RNA, 253 nt
Filed under: uncultured bacterium
Lineage: Bacteria
Description: partial 16S ribosomal RNA
Rfam family: Bacterial small subunit ribosomal RNA
Source: RNAcentral
CACGUAGGGUGCGAGCGUUGUCCGGAAUUAUUGGGCGUAAAGAGCUCGUAGGCGGUCUGUCGCGUCUGCUGUGAAAACUCAGGGCUUAACCCUGAGCUUGCAGUGGGUACGGGCAGACUAGAGCGCGGUAGGGGAGACUGGAAUUCCUGGUGUAGCGGUGAAAUGCGCAGAUAUCAGGAGGAACACCGGUGGCGAAGGCGGGUCUCUGGGCCACUACUGACGCUGAGAAGCGAAAGCAUGGGGAGCGAACAGG